Molecule: ribosomal RNA, 408 nt
Filed under: Platorchestia pacifica
Lineage: Eukaryota; Metazoa; Arthropoda; Malacostraca; Amphipoda; Talitridae
Description: partial 16S ribosomal RNA
Source: RNAcentral
UUUAUUGGAACUGGAAUGAAAGGCUCAACAAACACAUAAUUUUUUAUUUUUAGAUGUUAUAAUUUUUAAUUUACGUAAAAAUACGUAAAUGAAUUUAAGGGACGAUAAGACCCUAAAAGCUUUAUUAUUUAAAUUUUUGUUAUUAUUUAGAUUUGAUUGUUUAAUGUAUUUUAACUGGGGCGGUUGUUUUUUUAACAAAAAUUUUUUUUUACAAAUAGGAUUAAAGAUCCUUAAAAUUAGGAUAGAUUGUUUAAGUUACUUUAGGGAUAACAGCGUUAUAAUAAUAGGGAGACCUUAUUUAUAUUGUUGAUUGCGACCUCGAUGUUGAAUUAAAUUUUUCUAUAUAAAGCAGAAAUUAUAUAUGAAAGUUUGUUCAACUUUUAAAUUUUUACAUGAUCUGAGUUCAAA